AGAGUUUGAUCAUGGCUCAGGAUAAACGCUGGCGGUGUGCUUUAUGCAUGCAAGUCGAACGAGCCACUUCGGUGGCUAGUGGCAGACGGGUGAGUAACACGUAAGUGACCUGCCCUUAAGUGGGGAAUAGCUCUGAGAAAUCGGAAUUAAUACCGCAUGUGGUGGCGGAGGUAAAGUUCCGCCAUUAAAGCCGUAAGGCGCUUGAGGAGGGGCUUGCGUCUGAUUAGCUAGUUGGUGAGGUAAAAGCCUACCAAGGCUUAGAUCAGUAGCUGGUUUGAGAGGACGACCAGCCACACUGGGACUGAGACACGGCCCAGACUCCUACGGGAGGCAGCAGCAAGGAAUAUUGGGCAAUGGGCGAAAGCCUGACCCAGCGACAUCGCGUGGAGGAAGAAGGCCUUCGGGUUGUAAACUCCUUUUCCCGGGGAAGAAUAAUGACGGUACCCGGGGAAUAAGUCUCGGCUAACUACGUGCCAGCAGCCGCGGUAAUACGUAGGAGGCAAGCGUUAUCCGGAUUUACUGGGCGUAAAGAGGGCGUAGGCGGCCUGUCAAGUCAGAUGUGAAAUCUCCCGGCUUAACUGGGAGGGUGCAUUUGAAACUGAUGAGCUAGAGUGCAGCAGAGGGAAGUGGAAUUCCCGGUGUAGUGGUGAAAUGCGUAGAUAUCGGGAGGAACACUAGUGGCGAAGGCGGCUUUCUGGGCUGCAACUGACGCUGAGGCCCGAAGGCGUGGGGAGCAAACAGGAUUAGAUACCCUAGUAGUCC
This 762-nucleotide ribosomal RNA is filed under the name uncultured bacterium. Its description in RNAcentral is "bacterial SSU rRNA". It matches the Rfam family "Bacterial small subunit ribosomal RNA", at positions 8 to 796 of the family's 1533-position model. The record is from RNAcentral.